GUGUCAGCAGCCGCGGUAAUACGGAAGGGGCGAGCGUUGUUCGGAAUCAUUGGGCGUAAAGGGCGCGUAGGUGGUUCUGUAUGUCUGCCGUGAAAGCGUACGGCUCAACCGUAUUUUGUCGGCAGAAACUGUAGGACUUGAGGCUGGGAGGGGCUGGCGGAAUUCCCUGUGUAGCGGUGAAAUGCGUAGAGAUGGGGGAGAACACUCGUGGCGAAGGCGGCCAGCUAGACCAGUUCUGACACUGAGGCGCGACAGCGUGGGGAGCAAACAGGAUUAGAUACCCCGGUAGUCC
This 292-nucleotide ribosomal RNA is filed under the name uncultured bacterium. RNAcentral describes it as "partial 16S ribosomal RNA". It matches the Rfam family "Bacterial small subunit ribosomal RNA", at positions 505 to 796 of the family's 1533-position model. The record is from RNAcentral.